Molecule: signal recognition particle RNA, 299 nt
Filed under: Saimiri boliviensis boliviensis (Bolivian squirrel monkey)
Lineage: Eukaryota; Metazoa; Chordata; Mammalia; Primates; Cebidae
Description: Metazoan signal recognition particle RNA (ENSSBOG00000001586.1)
Rfam family: Metazoan signal recognition particle RNA
About the family: The signal recognition particle (SRP) is a universally conserved ribonucleoprotein. It is involved in the co-translational targeting of proteins to membranes.
Source: RNAcentral
GCCGGGCGCGGUGGCGCAUGCCUGUAGUCCCAGCUACUCAGGAGGCUGAGGCUGGAGGAUCUCUUGAGCCUAGGAGUUCUGGGCUGUAGUACUCUAUGCCGAUCUGCUGUCCGCACUAAGUUUGGCAUCAAUAUGGUGACCUCCAGGGAGCGGAGGACCACCAGUUUGCCUAAGGAGGGGUGAACCGGCCCAGGUCGGAAACGGAGCAGGUCAAAACUCCCAUGCUGAUCAGUAAUGGGAUCGCGCCUGUGAAUAGCCACUGCACUCCAGCCUGGGCAACAUAGUGAGACCCCGUCUCU